UGUGUGUUAGUGGAAGCGUCUGGAAAGGCGCGCGAUACAGGGUGACAGCCCCGUACACAAAAAUGCACAUGCUGUGAGCUCGAUGAGUAGGGCGGGACACGUGGUAUCCUGUCUGAAUAUGGGGGGACCAUCCUCCAAGGCUAAAUACUCCUGACUGACCGAUAGUGAACCAGUACCGUGAGGGAAAGGCGAAAAGAACCCCGGCGAGGGGAGUGAAAAAGAACCUGAAACCGUGUACGUACAAGCAGUGGGAGCACGCUUAGGCGUGUGACUGCGUACCUUUUGUAUAAUGGGUCAGCGACUUAUAUUCUGUAGCAAGGUUAACCGAAUAGGGGAGCCGAAGGGAAACCGAGUCUUAACUGGGCGUUAAGUUGCAGGGUAUAGACCCGAAACCCGGUGAUCUAGCCAUGGGCAGGUUGAAGGUUGGGUAACACUAACUGGAGGACCGAACCGACUAAUGUUGAAAAAUUAGCGGAUGACUUGUGGCUGGGGGUGAAAGGCCAAUCAAACCGGGAGAUAGCUGGUUCUCCCCGAAAGCUAUUUAGGUAGCGCCUCGUGAAUUCAUCUCCGGGGGUAGAGCACUGUUUCGGCAAGGGGGUCAUCCCGACUUACCAACCCGAUGCAAACUGCGAAUACCGGAGAAUGUUAUCACGGGAGACACACGGCGGGUGCUAACGUCCGUCGUGAAGAGGGAAACAACCCAGACCGCCAGCUAAGGUCCCAAAGUCAUGGUUAAGUGGGAAACGAUGUGGGAAGGCCCAGACAGCCAGGAUGUUGGCUUAGAAGCAGCCAUCAUUUAAAGAAAGCGUAAUAGCUCACUGGUCGAGUCGGCCUGCGCGGAAGAUGUAACGGGGCUAAACCAUGCACCGAAGCUGCGGCAGCGACGCUUAUGCGUUGUUGGGUAGGGGAGCGUUCUGUAAGCCUGUGAAGGUGUGCUGUGAGGCAUGCUGGAGGUAUCAGAAGUGCGAAUGCUGACAUAAGUAACGAUAAAGCGGGUGAAAAGCCCGCUCGCCGGAAGACCAAGGGUUCCUGUCCAACGUUAAUCGGGGCAGGGUGAGUCGACCCCUAAGGCGAGGCCGAAAGGCGUAGUCGAUGGGAAACAGGUUAAUAUUCCUGUACUUGGUGUUACUGCGAAGGGGGGACGGAGAAGGCUAUGUUGGCCGGGCGACGGUUGUCCCGGUUUAAGCGUGUAGGCUGGUUUUCCAGGCAAAUCCGGAAAAUCAAGGCUGAGGCGUGAUGACGAGGCACUACGGUGCUGAAGCAACAAAUGCCCUGCUUCCAGGAAAAGCCUCUAAGCAUCAGGUAACAUCAAAUCGUACCCCAAACCGACACAGGUGGUCAGGUAGAGAAUACCAAGGCGCUUGAGAGAACUCGGGUGAAGGAACUAGGCAAAAUGGUGCCGUAACUUCGGGAGAAGGCACGCUGAUAUGUAGGUGAAGUCCCUCGCGGAUGGAGCUGAAAUCAGUCGAAGAUACCAGCUGGCUGCAACUGUUUAUUAAAAACACAGCACUGUGCAAACACGAAAGUGGACGUAUACGGUGUGACGCCUGCCCGGUGCCGGAAGGUUAAUUGAUGGGGUCAGCGCAAGCGAAGCUCUUGAUCGAAGCCCCGGUAAACGGCGGCCGUAACUAUAACGGUCCUAAGGUAGCGAAAUUCCUUGUCGGGUAAGUUCCGACCUGCACGAAUGGCGUAAUGAUGGCCAGGCUGUCUCCACCCGAGACUCAGUGAAAUUGAACUCGCUGUGAAGAUGCAGUGUACCCGCGGCAAGACGGAAAGACCCCGUGAACCUUUACUAUAGCUUGACACUGAACAUUGAGCCUUGAUGUGUAGGAUAGGUGGGAGGCUUAGAAGUGUGGACGCCAGUCUGCAUGGAGCCGACCUUGAAAUACCACCCUUUAAUGUUUGAUGUUCUAACGUUGACCCGUAAUCCGGGUUGCGGACAGUGUCUGGUGGGUAGUUUGACUGGGGCGGUCUCCUCCUAAAGAGUAACGGAGGAGCACGAAGGUUGGCUAAUCCUGGUCGGACAUCAGGAGGUUAGUGCAAUGGCAUAAGCCAGCUUGACUGCGAGCGUGACGGCGCGAGCAGGUGCGAAAGCAGGUCAUAGUGAUCCGGUGGUUCUGAAUGGAAGGGCCAUCGCUCAACGGAUAAAAGGUACUCCGGGGAUAACAGGCUGAUACCGCCCAAGAGUUCAUAUCGACGGCGGUGUUUGGCACCUCGAUGUCGGCUCAUCACAUCCUGGGGCUGAAGUAGGUCCCAAGGGUAUGGCUGUUCGCCAUUUAAAGUGGUACGCGAGCUGGGUUUAGAACGUCGUGAGACAGUUCGGUCCCUAUCUGCCGUGGGCGCUGGAGAACUGAGGGGGGCUGCUCCUAGUACGAGAGGACCGGAGUGGACGCAUCACUGGUGUUCGGGUUGUCAUGCCAAUGGCACUGCCCGGUAGCUAAAUGCGGAAGAGAUAAGUGCUGAAAGCAUCUAAGCACGAAACUUGCCCCGAGAUGAGUUCUCCCUGACCC
RNAcentral lists this ribosomal RNA (2510 nucleotides) under Escherichia coli. RNAcentral describes it as "partial 23S ribosomal RNA". It matches the Rfam family "Bacterial large subunit ribosomal RNA", at positions 323 to 2821 of the family's 2925-position model. The record is from RNAcentral. Lineage: Bacteria; Pseudomonadati; Pseudomonadota; Gammaproteobacteria; Enterobacterales; Enterobacteriaceae.